UGCCAGCAGCCGCGGUAAGACGUAGGAUGCAAACGUUGUCCGGAUUUAUUGGGCGUAAAGAGUUCGUAGGCGGUGAUUUAAGUCUGGUGUUAAAUACCAGGGCUCAACUCAGGAUUUGCAUUGGAUACUGGAUCACUAGAGUACAGCAGAGGUAAAGGGAAUUCCCGGUGUAGCGGUGAAAUGCAUAGAUAUCGGGAGGAACGCCUGUGGCGAAAGCGCUUUGCUGGGCUGUAACUGACGCUGAGGAACGAAAGCCAGGGGAGCGAAAGGGAUUAGAUA
This 279-nucleotide ribosomal RNA is filed under the name uncultured bacterium. Its description in RNAcentral is "partial 16S ribosomal RNA". It matches the Rfam family "Bacterial small subunit ribosomal RNA", at positions 506 to 784 of the family's 1533-position model. The record is from RNAcentral.